This 253-nucleotide ribosomal RNA is filed under the name uncultured bacterium. RNAcentral's name for it is "partial 16S ribosomal RNA". It matches the Rfam family "Bacterial small subunit ribosomal RNA", at positions 524 to 776 of the family's 1533-position model. The record is from RNAcentral.
UACGUAGGGACCGAGCGUUGUCCGGAAUCAUUGGGCGUAAAGAGCGUGUAGGCGGCCACUUAAGUCCUGCGUGAAAUCUUGCGGCUCAACCGCAAGCGGUCGUGGGAAACUGGGUGGCUAGAGUACGGAAGAGGCGAGUGGAAUUCCUGGUGUAGCGGUGGAAUGCGCAGAUAUCAGGAGGAACACCAAUAGCGAAGGCAGCUCGCUGGGACGUUACUGACACUGAGGCGCGAAAGCGUGGGGAGCGAACAGG